GACGAACGCUGGCGGCGUGCCUAAUACAUGCAAGUCGAACGCUGAUUUUUUAACUGAUGCUUGCAUCGACCAAAAAAUCGGAGUGGCGAACGGGUGAGUAACACGUGGGCAACCUGCCCCUGACUCUGGGAUAAGCGCUGGAAACGGUGUCUAAUACUGGAUAUGUGAUGUGACCGCAUGGUCUGCGUCUGGAAAGAUUUUUCGGUUGGGGAUGGGCUCGCGGCCUAUCAGCUUGUUGGUGAGGUAAUGGCUCACCAAGGCGUCGACGGGUAGCCGGCCUGAGAGGGUGACCGGCCACACUGGGACUGAGACACGGCCCAGACUCCUACGGGAGGCAGCAGUGGGGAAUAUUGCACAAUGGGCGGAAGCCUGAUGCAGCAACGCCGCGUGGGGGAUGACGGCCUUCGGGUUGUAAACCUCUUUUAGCAGGGAAGAAGCGUGAGUGACGGUACCUGCAGAAAAAGCGCCGGCUAACUACGUGCCAGCAGCCGCCGUA
RNAcentral lists this ribosomal RNA (496 nucleotides) under uncultured bacterium. Its description in RNAcentral is "bacterial SSU rRNA". It matches the Rfam family "Bacterial small subunit ribosomal RNA", at positions 28 to 522 of the family's 1533-position model. The record is from RNAcentral.